This 328-nucleotide ribosomal RNA is filed under the name uncultured Glomus. RNAcentral's name for it is "bacterial SSU rRNA". It matches the Rfam family "Eukaryotic small subunit ribosomal RNA", at positions 569 to 903 of the family's 1831-position model. Lineage: Eukaryota; Fungi; Glomeromycota; Glomeromycetes; Glomerales; Glomeraceae. The record is from RNAcentral.
AGCAGCCGCAGUAAUUCCAGCUCCAAUAGCGUAUAUUAAAGUUGUUGCAGUUAAAAAGCUCGUAGUUGAAUUUCGGAAUCAGUACGCCAGUCAUGCUUCGGUAUGUACUAGUGUCACUGAUUCCUUCCUUCUGACGAACCGUCAUGCCAUUAAUUUAGUGUGAUGUGGAAUCAGGACUGUUACUUUGAAAAAAUUGAGUGUUUAAAGAAGGCUCGCGCUUGAAUACAUUAGCAUGGAAUAAUGAAAUAGGACGUUUGAUCUUAUUUUGUUGGUUUCUAGGAUCGAUGUAAUGAUUAAUAGGGAUAGUUGGGGGCAUUAGUAUUCAAUU